Molecule: ribosomal RNA, 406 nt
Filed under: uncultured bacterium
Lineage: Bacteria
Description: partial 16S ribosomal RNA
Rfam family: Bacterial small subunit ribosomal RNA
Source: RNAcentral
GACGAACGCUGGCGGCAGGCCUACCACAUGCAAGUCGAACGAGUGGCGGACGGGUGAGUAAUGUCUGGGAAACUGCCUGAUGGAGGGGGAUAACUACUGGAAACGGUAGCUAAUACCGCAUACCAUCGGAUGUGCCCAGAUGGGAUUAGCUAGUAGGUGGGGUAAAUGCUUACCUAGGCGACGAUCCCGAGCUGGUCUGAGAGGAUGACCAGCCACACUGGAAAUGAGACACGGUCCAGAGUCCUACGGGAGCCAGCAGUGGGGAAUAUUGCACAAUGGGCGCAAGCCUGAUGCAGCCAUGCCGCGUGUAUGAAGAAGUCCUUCGGGGUGUAAAGUACUUUCAGCGGGGAGGCGUUACCCGCAGAAGAAGCACCGGCUAACUCCGUGCCAGCAGCCGCGGUAAUAC